This 486-nucleotide ribosomal RNA is filed under the name uncultured bacterium. Its description in RNAcentral is "partial 16S ribosomal RNA". It matches the Rfam family "Bacterial small subunit ribosomal RNA", at positions 30 to 507 of the family's 1533-position model. The record is from RNAcentral.
AUUGAACGCUGGCGGCAUGCCUUACACAUGCAAGUCGAACGGCAGCACGGGUGCUUGCACCUGGUUGCGAGUGGCGAACGGGUGAGUAAUACAUCGGAACAUGUCCUGUAGUGGGGGAUAGCCCGGCGAAAGCCGGAUUAAUACCGCAUCCUAUCUACGGUUGACAGCGGGGGUCCUUCGGGCCUCGCGCUAUAGGGUUGGCCGAUGGCUGAUUAGCUAGUUGGUGGGGUAAAGGCCUACCAAGGCGACGAUCAGUAGCUGGUCUGAGAGGACGACCAGCCACACGGGGACUGAGACACGGCCCAGACUCCUACGGGAGGCAGAGGUGGGGAAUUUUGGACAAUGGGCGAAAGCCUGAUCAAGAAAUGCCGCGUGUGUGAAGAAGGCCUUCGGGUUGUAAAGCACUUUUGUACGGAAAGAAAUCCUUGGCCCUAAUACGGUCGGGGGAUGACGGUACCGGAAGAAUAAGCACCGGCUAACUACGUG